RNAcentral lists this ribosomal RNA (440 nucleotides) under uncultured bacterium. RNAcentral describes it as "partial 16S ribosomal RNA". It matches the Rfam family "Bacterial small subunit ribosomal RNA", at positions 338 to 795 of the family's 1533-position model. The record is from RNAcentral.
CCUACGGGCGACAGCAGUGGGGGAUAUUGCACAAUGGGGGAAACCCUGAUGCAGCGACGCCGCGUGGGUGAAGAAGCGCCUCGGCGCGUAAAGCCCUGUCAGCAGGGAAGAAAAUGACGGUACCUGAAGAAGAAGCCCCGGCUAACUCCGUGCCAGCAGCCGCGGUCACACGUAGGGGGCAAGCGUUAUCCGGAUUUACUGGGGGUAAAGGGGGCGCAGACGGCGAGGCAAGCCAGGAGUGAAAGCCCGGGGCCCAACCCCGGGACUGCUCUUGGAACUGCGUGGCUAGAGUGCAGGAGGGGCAGGCGGAAUUCCUGGUGUAGCGGUGAAAUGCGUAGAUAUCGGGAGGAACACCGGUGGCGAAGGCGGCCUGCUGGACUGCAACUGACGUUGAGGCCCGAAAGCGUGGGGAGCGAACAGGAUUAGAUACCCCAGUAGUC